RNAcentral lists this ribosomal RNA (780 nucleotides) under Cytobacillus firmus. RNAcentral describes it as "bacterial SSU rRNA". It matches the Rfam family "Bacterial small subunit ribosomal RNA", at positions 73 to 837 of the family's 1533-position model. The record is from RNAcentral. Lineage: Bacteria; Bacillati; Bacillota; Bacilli; Caryophanales; Bacillaceae.
UGGGAGCUUGCUCCCAUGAAGUCAGCGGCGGACGGGUGAGUAACACGUGGGCAACCUGCCUGUAAGACUGGGAUAACUUCGGGAAACCGGAGCUAAUACCGGAUAAUUCUUUCCCUCACAUGAGGGAAAGCUGAAAGAUGGUUUCGGCUAUCACUUACAGAUGGGCCCGCGGCGCAUUAGCUAGUUGGUGAGGUAACGGCUCACCAAGGCAACGAUGCGUAGCCGACCUGAGAGGGUGAUCGGCCACACUGGGACUGAGACACGGCCCAGACUCCUACGGGAGGCAGCAGUAGGGAAUCUUCCGCAAUGGACGAAAGUCUGACGGAGCAACGCCGCGUGAGUGAUGAAGGUUUUCGGAUCGUAAAACUCUGUUGUUAGGGAAGAACAAGUACCGGAGUAACUGCCGGUACCUUGACGGUACCUAACCAGAAAGCCACGGCUAACUACGUGCCAGCAGCCGCGGUAAUACGUAGGUGGCAAGCGUUGUCCGGAAUUAUUGGGCGUAAAGCGCGCGCAGGCGGUUCCUUAAGUCUGAUGUGAAAGCCCCCGGCUCAACCGGGGAGGGUCAUUGGAAACUGGGGAACUUGAGUGCAGAAGAGAAGAGUGGAAUUCCACGUGUAGCGGUGAAAUGCGUAGAGAUGUGGAGGAACACCAGUGGCGAAGGCGACUCUUUGGUCUGUAACUGACGCUGAGGCGCGAAAGCGUGGGGAGCAAACAGGAUUAGAUACCCUGGUAGUCCACGCCGUAAACGAUGAGUGCUAAGUGUUAGAGGGUUUCCGC